UACCGUUUGUAUCUCUUUUUGAUGUGAAUAAAGUCCAACACAUUCAGUGACUUGGAAAUGUACAUGUAUCCAUCCCCUGAUUUGUCUGAAGAAAACUGGCAAUAAAAUUGAUU
Thalassophryne amazonica is the source of this 113-nucleotide long non-coding RNA. RefSeq lists it as uncharacterized. The transcript has 3 exons. The record is from RefSeq and is a predicted model, not a curated record. Lineage: Eukaryota; Metazoa; Chordata; Actinopteri; Batrachoidiformes; Batrachoididae.